ACGGAAUAGAUACCCCGGUAGUCCACGCCCUAAACGAUGUCUACUAGUUGUCGGGGAUUCAUUUCCUUGGUAAACGCAGCUAAACGCGUGAAAGUAGACCGCCUGGGGAGUACGGCCGCAAGGUUAAAACUCAAAGGAAUUGACGGGGACCCGCACAAGCGGUGGAUGAUGUGGAUUAAUUCGAUGCAACGCGAAAAACCUUACCUACGCUUGACAUGCCAGGAACUUUCCAGAGAUGGAUUGGUGCCCGAAAGGGAACCUGGACACAGGUGCUGCAUGGCUGUCGUCAGCUCGUGUCGUGAGAUGUUGGGUUAAGUCCCGCAACGAGCGCAACCCUUAUCCUUAGUUGCUACGCAAGGGCACUCUAGGGAGACUGCCGGUGACAAACCGGAGGAAGGUGGGGAUGACAUCAAGUCCUCAUGGCCCUUAUGUGUAGGGCUUCACACGUCAUACAAUGGUCGGUACAGAGGGUCGCCAACCCGCGAGGGGGAGCCAAUCCCAGAAAACCGAUCGUAGUCCGGAUUGCAGUCUGCAACUCGACUGC
RNAcentral lists this ribosomal RNA (544 nucleotides) under uncultured bacterium. RNAcentral's name for it is "bacterial SSU rRNA". It matches the Rfam family "Bacterial small subunit ribosomal RNA", at positions 772 to 1319 of the family's 1533-position model. The record is from RNAcentral.